This is a non-coding RNA of Spinacia oleracea (spinach), 113 nucleotides long. The record is from Rfam. Lineage: Eukaryota; Viridiplantae; Streptophyta; Magnoliopsida; Caryophyllales; Amaranthaceae.
AAUUACAGUGACGACUCACAAAAUUCAAGCUCAACAGACCGUAUUGCAGGAAUUUCUCACUCUAUUGAGGAUGAUUCUUUUGCGUGUCGACACACCCGCUGAACUGAGUAAUC